GCUCAUAGCUCAGCUGGCUAGAGCGCGGUGCUGAUAAUGCCAAGGUUUCGGGUUCAAUCCCUGUAUGAGACAGCA
Molecule: non-coding RNA, 75 nt
Organism: Podarcis lilfordi (Lilford's wall lizard)
Lineage: Eukaryota; Metazoa; Chordata; Lepidosauria; Squamata; Lacertidae
Source: the annotation of a GenBank genome assembly